AUGCUUUCUCCAUCACCCUGCACUGCAAGGGCCAAGCUCAAGCACUCACCGCAGCCAAAACGGCGGGGAACGAUGGAGGACGGCGGGGAACGACAGCGGCGAGCAGCGGGGGACGACGGGGGACGGCGGCGAGCAGCGGGGGACGACGGGGGACAGAGGGGAACGGCGGGGGAUGGCGGGGACAACGGGGGACAGCGACGAGCGGCGGGGAACGGCGGAGGACGGCAGGGGAUGGCGGGGGACGGCGGGGAGCGACAGAGAGCGGCGGGCGACGGCGGGGAACGAUGGAGAGCGACGGGGAACGACGGGGAACGGCGGCGAGCAACGGGGAACGGCGGGGAGCGGCGGAGGACGGCGGGGAGUGGCGGAGGACGGCGGGGGACGACGGGGGACAACGGGAGACGGCGGCGAGCGACGGGGAACGGUGUGGAACGGCGGCGAGCGGCAGCAAGCGGCGGAGGACGGCGGGGAACGACGGGGGACGGCGGUGAGUGGAGGCGAGCGGUAGCAGCGGGGAAACAGCGGGGGACGGCGGGGGACAACGGGGGACAACGGGAGACGGCGGGGAGCGACGGAGGAUGGCGGGGGACGACAGGGGACGGCGGCGAGCGGCGGGGAACGAUGGGGGACGACGGGGAACGGCGGCGAGUGGCCGCGAGCGGCGGCAGCCGGGAAAUGGCGGGGAAGGACGGCCCCUUAGCACAGCCUCUUAGCAUUAAAAAAAAUGAUAAAACCAAUAAACGUAUGUUAUUCUGCCAUCACAUGUUUACGCCUUUCCUUUUGAACUUCUCCGAAUUAUUCAAGAUGUUGUUUACAAUUCAUUCUGUCUUAGCUGAAAAAGAAACCCAUACGUAUUUCUAUAGGACUUUAGUUUGUAUAUUGUAAUGCUAUGAUGUGAUGGAAAGUCCAGUGCUAAUAGCAGGGUGGCAAAGUCUUUGCCUGUAGGAAAUGAGGCAAACCCAAAUGCAGCAGCCUUGAAUGCAGAAACAAAGGAAAAAAAGCGGAUUACCUUUGGAAGGCCACAGGUAAGCCAGGAUCUCCAGCAAGAUUCCCUCACCUCCACUGCCAGCCCUUCAAGGAGGUCUGGGAAGGGGUGCCUCCUGGCCCCACCCCUUCCAGUCACUCAGGUGCACUGCAUGCACCUGAGCUCCCCUGGGUUGGCCCUGCCUUCCCACCAGGUGCUCAAUCACUCUUUCAGGCUGUGACAGCGUUUCCUCUACACAUAAGUUGAGUUACUCCUCUGUGAUAGUAUUGGCCUUUCUUAUACACCAGAUUUCUGGUUAGUUUUUCCCGUAUAAGGUAGCUUGAACACUACAUCCAGACAUAAGCAAUCGAUUUUGCAUUGAGAUUUAUUGCACAUCUCCUCAUACGUCCCUCUGCUAUGUGGUCGUCAACGGUUUACGGGCGUUCAGCUUGGUUCCGUGAGGAAUGGGACGGGGGACCCACGGGCCACGCCCGGGAAAAGGGAAAAGGGGAAAAGGGGAAGGAGAUAGCCCUGAGAGCAAAGAACAGUGGCAACAAUCCGAGGAGAAACAAACUAAUUUACUAAAUAAGGUAUUGGAAUGCAAAACAACACGCUAUAAUACAAUAUAAUUACGAUUUAAGCUGAUAAAUCCAAUACGGAGAGAGAGAAUGUCCCAAAAUCAAGGUAGGCCUUACUCUACUACCGACGAUAAGAUGGCUGGAGAGCGAGGUGCUGCCAAGAUGAGGGACGGGCGGAAAAAAGGGACGAGGUCUCGUGAUCCACAAGUUUUUAUCUUUUCCCUCUGGCCGGAAAUGGUAACAGAGGAGCAAAGUACCUCGGGGAAUGUAGUAGUCCUUCUCUUCCGAGAACCAGGUACAUUCACUACAUGAUGUUAUGAUGUGGAGUAACAAUAACCGAAAA
Molecule: long non-coding RNA, 1885 nt
Organism: Numida meleagris (helmeted guineafowl)
Lineage: Eukaryota; Metazoa; Chordata; Aves; Galliformes; Numididae
Source: Ensembl